CACGUAGUUAGCCGGUGCUUAUUCUUUAGGUACCGUCAGCAGAAACGGGUAUUAACCGCUCCUUUUUCUUCCCUAACAAAAGCCCUUUACAACCCGAAGGCCUUCUUCAGACACGCGGCAUGGCUGGAUCAGGCUUGCGCCCAUUGUCCAAAAUUCCCCACUGCUGCCUCCCGUAGGAGUCUGGGCCGUGUCUCAGUCCCAGUGUGGCGGAUCAUCCUCUCAGACCCGCUACUGAUCGUCGCCUUGGUAGGCCUUUACCCCACCAACUAGCUAAUCAGAUAUUGGCCGCUCGAAUAACGCAAGGCCCGAAGGUCCCCUGCUUUCCUCCUCAGAGCGUAUGCGGUAUUAGCCAAUCUUUCGAUUUGGUUAUCCCCCAUUACCCGGUACGCUUACCAAUAUAUUACUCACCCGUUCGCCACUCGCCCGGCAGUAGUGCAAGCACCUACCCCGCUCGCCGUCCGACUUGCAUGUGUAAAGCAUCGCCGCCAGCCGUU
RNAcentral lists this ribosomal RNA (494 nucleotides) under uncultured Neisseria sp. RNAcentral's name for it is "partial 16S ribosomal RNA". The record is from RNAcentral. Lineage: Bacteria; Pseudomonadati; Pseudomonadota; Betaproteobacteria; Neisseriales; Neisseriaceae.